This 301-nucleotide ribosomal RNA is filed under the name uncultured bacterium. RNAcentral's name for it is "partial 16S ribosomal RNA". It matches the Rfam family "Bacterial small subunit ribosomal RNA", at positions 509 to 809 of the family's 1533-position model. The record is from RNAcentral.
CAGCCGCCACGGGAAUACAGAGGGUGCGAGCGUUAAUCGGAUUUACUGGGCGUAAAGCGUGCGUAGGCGGCUUCUUAAGUCGGAUGUGAAAUCCCUGAGCUUAACUUAGGAAUUGCAUUCGAUACUGGGAAGCUAGAGUAUGGGAGAGGAUGGUAGAAUUCCAGGUGUAGCGGUGAAAUGCGUAGAGAUCUGGAGGAAUACCGAUGGCGAAGGCAGCCAUCUGGCCUAAUACUGACGCUGAGGUACGAAAGCAUGGGGAGCAAACAGGAUUAGAGACCCCGGUAGUCCCUGUCUCUUAUAA